CUUUUUUUAAUGCUUAAUGAUCGUUUAUAAAACUGCUUGCCAUUGUAUUUAGGGAGCUGCAAAUAGCUAAGUUGUAGGCUAUCCAUAUUCAUGCGGUAGC
Alosa sapidissima (American shad) is the source of this 100-nucleotide long non-coding RNA. RefSeq lists it as uncharacterized. Lineage: Eukaryota; Metazoa; Chordata; Actinopteri; Clupeiformes; Clupeidae. The transcript is spliced from 3 exons. The record is from RefSeq and is a predicted model, not a curated record.